CACUCAUUGAGUGGUUCUAUCACAGGGGGAGAAGGGCAAGAGUAUUGUUGAUAGGAUUUGAUACAGCUGUGUGCCUUCAUUAAUUAUAUAACCAUGGGAAGAAGAGCAAAGGGAGAGUGGAUACCACAAGUGUCCCUGGGAAGGUGUCACUGAAACUCACAUCUCCACUUGGCCACUGUAUGAAGUACGGGACAAGGAGACCCACACCUACCCCCUGCACAAAGGGCACAGGGAUGAAUGACAGAAGAAACCAGGCCCUAGCAAUUUCAUGCAAGUCCUGCUCAAGUCUUUUGUGAGAUCAGUCCACCUUGGGACUUUUCUGGUAUUAGGGAUAAUUAAUUUCAUUUUGGGUAAGCCAGUUUGGUUCGGGCAUUCUGUCACUUAUGACACAUAAUUGGAAGGGAUCGAUUCAAAGUGACGAGAAAUGGAAGACUUAUCUUCAAAUCUGGGAUUUUGGAGCCAACAUUAGAGCUUGACCACUAAUUUCAAACUACAGCCUUUUAAAGUUCUGAAGUUUGAGGGAACCAGAAGUGGAAGUGUCAAAACUCUCACCAGGAAGCUUGUUACGAGAUGUUCUACCCAAGCUGGCACCCUCAGGUUCCCACUUGUGAAGUUAUUCCUGAAGUUAUUCUGUCUGAAACUUCCCCUUCAUUGACAAUUCAACAUCUCUGCACUACAAUCAUCUUCCCUGAUCUACAAUCAGCAAACAAAGAAAAGGAACCCAGGCAGAAGAGUAAGGUGAACAGAAAAGAAGGACCAGAUGGUGUAUAUUUAGGGGGAUUCAUAUAAGAUGAGGCUGGUCAUGAUAGAAGCGUACUUAGAAGCUUGCCCUUGGCUGCAAGAGAUGAGGCUCCCCACUUAGGACAGAGGAAGGAAAUGGGGCACC
This is a long non-coding RNA of Mustela lutreola (European mink), 886 nucleotides long. RefSeq lists it as uncharacterized. Lineage: Eukaryota; Metazoa; Chordata; Mammalia; Carnivora; Mustelidae. The transcript is spliced from 7 exons. The record is from RefSeq and is a predicted model, not a curated record.